Molecule: ribosomal RNA, 1438 nt
Filed under: uncultured organism
Description: SSU rRNA
Rfam family: Bacterial small subunit ribosomal RNA
Source: RNAcentral
CUUAACACAUGCAAGUCGAGGGGCAGCAUUUUAGUUUGCUUGCAAACUGAAGAUGGCGACCGGCGCACGGGUGAGUAACACGUAUCCAACCUGCCGAUAACUCCGGGAUAGCCUUUCGAAAGAAAGAUUAAUACCGGAUAGCAUACGAAUAUCGCAUGAUAUUUUUAUUAAAGAAUUUCGGUUAUCGAUGGGGAUGCGUUCCAUUAGUUUGUUGGCGGGGUAACGGCCCACCAAGACUACGAUGGAUAGGGGUUCUGAGAGGAAGGUCCCCCACAUUGGAACUGAGACACGGUCCAAACUCCUACGGGAGGCAGCAGUGAGGAAUAUUGGUCAAUGGGCGCGAGCCUGAACCAGCCAAGUAGCGUGAAGGAUGAAGGCUCUAUGGGUCGUAAACUUCUUUUAUAUGGGAAUAAAGUUUUCCACGUGUGGAAUUUUGUAUGUACCAUAUGAAUAAGGAUCGGCUAACUCCGUGCCAGCAGCCGCGGUAAUACGGAGGAUCCGAGCGUUAUCCGGAUUUAUUGGGUUUAAAGGGAGCGUAGGUGGAUUGUUAAGUCAGUUGUGAAAGUUUGCGGCUCAACCGUAAAAUUGCAGUUGAAACUGGCAGUCUUGAGUACAGUAGAGGUGGGCGGAAUUCGUGGUGUAGCGGUGAAAUGCUUAGAUAUCACGAAGAACUCCGAUUGCGAAGGCAGCUCACUAGACUGUCACUGACACUGAUGCUCGAAAGUGUGGGUAUCAAACAGGAUUAGAUACCCUGGUAGUCCACACAGUAAACGAUGAAUACUCGCUGUUUGCGAUAUACAGUAAGCGGCCAAGCGAAAGCAUUAAGUAUUCCACCUGGGGAGUACGCCGGCAACGGUGAAACUCAAAGGAAUUGACGGGGGCCCGCACAAGCGGAGGAACAUGUGGUUUAAUUCGAUGAUACGCGAGGAACCUUACCCGGGCUUAAAUUGCAACAGAAUAUAUUGGAAACAGUAUAGCCGUAAGGCUGUUGUGAAGGUGCUGCAUGGUUGUCGUCAGCUCGUGCCGUGAGGUGUCGGCUUAAGUGCCAUAACGAGCGCAACCCUUAUCUUUAGUUACUAACAGGUCAUGCUGAGGACUCUAGAGAGACUGCCGUCGUAAGAUGUGAGGAAGGUGGGGAUGACGUCAAAUCAGCACGGCCCUUACGUCCGGGGCUACACACGUGUUACAAUGGGGGGUACAGAAGGCGGCUACCUGGUGACAGGAUGCUAAUCCCAAAAACCUCUCUCAGUUCGGAUCGAAGUCUGCAACCCGACUUCGUGAAGCUGGAUUCGCUAGUAAUCGCGCAUCAGCCAUGGCGCGGUGAAUACGUUCCCGGGCCUUGUACACACCGCCCGUCAAGCCAUGAAAGCCGGGGGUACCUGAAGUACGUAACCGCAAGGAGCGUCCUAGGGUAAAACUGGUAAUUGGGGCUAAGUCA